AACAUCUCUGGGCAGUAGACCCGCUGUCUUCCAUUACGAUGGCAAGAGCCAGAAGUCUUGAGGGUACAGAUGCGUUACGAUACUUUGGGAAUGGAAUGAUUUUCAUUCACCCACAGAUGCAUAUUAGAAGAAUGAAUGAUCUUUCCCUGAAACCUCAAGAGAUUGAAAAUUUAUAACUAAGCCUUUUAAAAGACCGUCAGAUUCUACUUUCAGG
This 214-nucleotide long non-coding RNA is filed under the name Mustela putorius furo (domestic ferret). RNAcentral describes it as "lncRNA (ENSMPUG00000030846.1)". Lineage: Eukaryota; Metazoa; Chordata; Mammalia; Carnivora; Mustelidae. The record is from RNAcentral.